RNAcentral lists this ribosomal RNA (274 nucleotides) under uncultured bacterium. Its description in RNAcentral is "partial 16S ribosomal RNA". It matches the Rfam family "Bacterial small subunit ribosomal RNA", at positions 523 to 796 of the family's 1533-position model. The record is from RNAcentral.
AUACGGGGGGGGCUAGCGUUGUCCGGAAUCAUUGGGCGUAAAGGGCACGUAGGCGGGAUGGUCAGUCUGAGGUGAAAGCUUGCAGCUUAACUGUAAGUCUGCCUUGGAUACUGCCAUUCUUGAGUUCGGAAGAGGGAAGUGGAAUUCCUGGUGUAGCGGUGAAAUGCGUAGAUAUCAGGAAGAACACCGGUGGCGAAGGCGGCUUCCUGGUCCGAUUCUGACGCUGAUGUGCGAAAGCGUGGGGAGCAAACAGGAGUAGAAACCCUAGUAGUCC